RNAcentral lists this ribosomal RNA (245 nucleotides) under uncultured bacterium. RNAcentral's name for it is "partial 16S ribosomal RNA". It matches the Rfam family "Bacterial small subunit ribosomal RNA", at positions 15 to 263 of the family's 1533-position model. The record is from RNAcentral.
GAUCAUGGCUCAGGAUGAACGCUAGCGGCAGGCCUAACACAUGCAAGUCGAGGGAGAAGCCCUUUCGGGGGCAGAAACCGGCGCACGGGUGCGUAACGCGUAUGCAACCUACCUUUCACAGGGGGAUAGCCCGAAGAAAUUUGGAUUAAUACCCCAUAAUAUUGUUGGAUGGCAUCAUCUGGCAAUUAAAGCUACGACGGUGGAAGAUGGGCAUGCGUCCUAUUAGCUAGUUGGAGUGGUAACGG